AAAAAAGACAAACCUUAGUUUCCGUGUCCAAUAUUUGACCGUCCGUCUUAUUUAAAAAAAUUAUAAAAAAAAUUAAAAAGAUAAGUCACACAUAAAGUAUUCAUCAUGUUUUAUCAUCUAACAACAAUGAAAAUACUAAUUAUAAAAAAAUUUCAUAUAAGACGGACGGUCAAACGUUGGCACGCAAACCCGUAGUUUGCCUUUUU
This 206-nucleotide microRNA precursor is filed under the name Oryza barthii. Its description in RNAcentral is "MIR812 microRNA precursor family". It matches the Rfam family "MIR812 microRNA precursor family". Lineage: Eukaryota; Viridiplantae; Streptophyta; Magnoliopsida; Poales; Poaceae. The record is from Rfam by way of RNAcentral.